AACUCAUAGGCGCUGCUGGUAGGAGCGUGACAUUGUACGUAGGACUCUGGGGCGCAGUCAACUGUGUUGAACACCACAAGGCUGUACUGGGUUCCACCAUACUGGGAGGACAAAAGAACUCUAAAAACCCAGGCCUCGGGACUCCAUCUGUCCUCCCUCAGACCCAGGGAUCUACGGGCCUCCGCCCCGUGACUCGGCCGCACACUCACGUCGCCCCCGAAGUCCGUCUCUGCAGGCGGUCCCCCGUUGAAGUACCUGCAAAGGAGGGGUAAGGGCGGCGUCGGCGCAAGCUUAGGGAACCUAUAGGAGAGAGUCGCCCAAUCACAGCACCCGAGAUGACGUUGCCAGGCAACACUGUAAAGUUGCAGUCAACUUGGAAGCCAAGGCAGUUUUCGCUGGAAAAAGAAGCGAAUUCCAACUUAAGUGGAGGUUGCUAGGCAACAUCUGAGCCUUCUUUUCUGGGGAA
Long non-coding RNA from Psammomys obesus (fat sand rat), 466 nucleotides. RefSeq lists it as uncharacterized. The record is from RefSeq and is a predicted model, not a curated record. The transcript is spliced from 3 exons. Lineage: Eukaryota; Metazoa; Chordata; Mammalia; Rodentia; Muridae.